UCAAAUGGUUGAAAGAAACUCAUUACUCCUUCCCUAGAUUCACAGCAGCCUUUACAGUAUUAAAAAAAAAAAAAAGAAGAAAGAAAGAAAGAAAAGAAAGAAACACGUUUUCAAAAUAGAAACUCUGAAGCUGUUCACUUGUGAUGAAGGAGCUGACCACAGUUGCCCUUAUUUUCCUGGAUUCACUUUAUGGCCAAAAGCAUGGGAUGGCGAUUUCCUUCAGUCCUGGAGAUAAAUGAUGCUUUCUGGAGGCAGAGCACUGAGGAUUACUUUUACAGAAAUACAGCACACAAAGUAAAUCCUUGUUAG
This 309-nucleotide long non-coding RNA is filed under the name Anser brachyrhynchus (Pink-footed goose). RNAcentral describes it as "lncRNA (ENSABRG00000011202.1)". Lineage: Eukaryota; Metazoa; Chordata; Aves; Anseriformes; Anatidae. The record is from RNAcentral.